GCUCAGAUUGAACGCUGGCGGCAGGCCUAACACAUGCAAGUCGAGCGGUAGCACAGAGAGCUUGCUCUCGGGUGACGAGCGGCGGACGGGUGAGUAAUGUCUGGGAAACUGCCUGAUGGAGGGGGAUAACUACUGGAAACGGUAGCUAAUACCGCAUAACGUCGCAAGACCAAAGAGGGGGACCUUCGGGCCUCUUGCCAUCAGAUGUGCCCAGAUGGGAUUAGCUAGUAGGUGGGGUAAUGGCUCACCUAGGCGACGAUCCCUAGCUGGUUUGAGAGGAUGACCAGCCACACUGGAACUGAGACACGGUCCAGACUCCUACGGGAGGCAGCAGUGGGGAAUAUUGCACAAUGGGCGCAAGCCUGAUGCAGCCAUGCCGCGUGUAUGAAGAAGGCCUUCGGGUUGUAAAGUACUUUCAGCGAGGAGGAAGGCAUUGUGGUUAAUAACCACAGUGAUGACGUACUCGCA
RNAcentral lists this ribosomal RNA (468 nucleotides) under Lelliottia amnigena. RNAcentral's name for it is "bacterial SSU rRNA". It matches the Rfam family "Bacterial small subunit ribosomal RNA", at positions 22 to 483 of the family's 1533-position model. Lineage: Bacteria; Pseudomonadati; Pseudomonadota; Gammaproteobacteria; Enterobacterales; Enterobacteriaceae. The record is from RNAcentral.